AGCCGUCAUUGGAAUGGCAAUGACGAAGAACCAAAUGGGGUUAGCAAG
Molecule: non-coding RNA, 48 nt
Filed under: unclassified sequences
Description: gut-2 RNA
Rfam family: gut-2 RNA
About the family: gut metagenomes. Environment (Cow rumen (57))
Source: Rfam by way of RNAcentral